Mauremys reevesii (Reeves's turtle) is the source of this 1134-nucleotide long non-coding RNA. RefSeq lists it as uncharacterized. The record is from RefSeq and is a predicted model, not a curated record. The transcript is spliced from 3 exons. NCBI's taxonomy places the organism in Eukaryota, Metazoa, Chordata, Testudines, Geoemydidae.
GUAACUCAAGUGUGGCUUUGCAACAUAGCUGCUCACACCUGAGCUAGGCUAACCUGGUGUUCAGAUCUGGGUUAACUCUUCAGGUUGACUGGGAGUCCUGGCUCUGAGACAGUCACCUGGCAGGAUGCCGAGGAACUAGGAGCCCAGGAGUAUGUCCACACUGAAGCUGGAAGCAAGCUUCCCAGGCACAUUUUGGACCAAGGAGGGAGCAAAUUUCAAGGCUGAGAGGUAUCCCAGAAAAAGUUGUCUCUGCAGUCAUCUCUGUAUUCAAUCACCUGGUUGAAUGCCUCAAAAAAUUGUAGCAUAAGCAUUAAGCCAUUUGGGCCACCAGAAUAGUGAUCUUGGUAUUGUACCUAGUAGAAUGGCGUAGCUAAUUGUCAGACCAUCCAAUGUAUGCUUUCCCUUCUUUGUUACUCUCACCUUGAGAGGCCAGGAGAAGAUUAAAAAGGGACUAAAUCAGUGUAUUCCUCAUGGGCCAUUGCUGACAUCACAAAUCCUGGCUUCUAGUCUUGACUUUGGGAGAGCAGUGUGGUCUUGUGGUUACAGAAUAGCUAAGCACAUAGAUUUGGCAAUUUUUUUCUGAAAGGCAACAUGGUUAAGUGUAUAAGAUUCGGGUUCACCAUACUAGAAAUCUGUGUUCUAUUCCUGCUGUGCCAGCACUGACAUUGUGAAGUGUAUAGAAUUCUCACCAGCCAAUGGAUAAAGACAAGUCUCCAACCCAGUGUACCUUCCACUAGGCCAAAGGGUAUUUUGGCAAGCAAGGUGGCUGGCUAGUUGAGACCCCUCAGUGAGGUUUGGGAACAUUCGAAGCUUGGAUUAUUCAGAGAAUUAAGGGACCAGUCUUGAACUUGUAUAAAUGAUGAUUUCUCAGAAGCUGAGCCAAAACCUUACUGACCUAGAGACUAUUUAGCAGCCAAAUUCCAAUCAUGUAGGUGGUAGAACUUGUUAAAAAUAUUCUGACUUUAAAAUAUAUAUAUUCCCCUGACCUCUCUGGGAGCAGGCUGAAUGGUUUGGGCUGAAACAUUUAAAAUUGUACAGGCAGAGAUCAAGCGUGAAACUUUCAGUCUUAACUGUUAAAACUUGGCAAAGUUAAUGGGAAGUGUUAGGGUAAUCUUAAUUAUCAGUGAAGCACAU